This 356-nucleotide unclassified non-coding RNA is filed under the name soil metagenome. RNAcentral's name for it is "partial contains small subunit ribosomal RNA, internal transcribed spacer 1, and 5.8S ribosomal RNA". The record is from RNAcentral.
UUUCCGUAGGUGAACCUGCGGAAGGAUCAUUACCAAACAUGUCGUCGUCCCGCAUCGCCGCGCCACGUCGCACUGGGCCAGUUCCCGUGUCAUCAUCGGUUGAGCAGUAACCGCUCACUAGUCCCGCCUUUGAUGGCCCCGAAUGAGGCUCGAGAAUUCAGGAGUGGAUGCUUGGCGGUGUAGGCCCGACACGACACGAAAACCCAUCCGCGUACCCUUCCUGUUGCUUCCGCGGUCGCGAUUCGCAUCCGCGGGAGGUCCCUGUAAAAACCAUUCUGCAUCUCCAUGCCCAGAGUCUGAACUUCAAUCUGUUUAAUUAAGAUUAAAAACUUUCAACAACGGAUCUCUUGGUUCUC